This is a long non-coding RNA of Colossoma macropomum (tambaqui), 661 nucleotides long. RefSeq lists it as uncharacterized. The transcript has 3 exons. The record is from RefSeq and is a predicted model, not a curated record. NCBI's taxonomy places the organism in Eukaryota, Metazoa, Chordata, Actinopteri, Characiformes, Serrasalmidae.
UACUACUGAACACACAAGAGAUCAGAACAUUAGAUCUCACUGUCUCUCUGUCUAAACAGGAACAAUGAUUGGAUUACUUUUCACUCUUUGCCUCUUUGUAACUGGAAAAAUGUCUGAUCUUAUUGAGCUUCAAGUACAAAAAGUGAGGCUGGGACAUGAAGUGACAAUAAAAUGUGACCAGAAAACAGCCAAAUAUAAUUUAAUUUGGUAUAAACACAGUUUGAUAUCAGCAUUACUAGAGUCAAAGAAGAAGAUAUAGGAAUAUAUUUCUGUGGAAAAGGAAAAUCAGCUGCUUUAGAGUUUAUAUCUGGAACCCUUUUGCUGUUUGCAGAUGAGAAAACUGACCAUCAUCCUCCACCUGAAUCUGCUAUCAAGAAUGAAGAACCUGUUAAACUCCAGUGUUCAGUACAAGCAGUUACUCUGAACUGUUCAGGAGAACACAGUGUGUACUGGAUCAGACAUGGAUCAGGAGAAUCUCAUCCAGGAAUCAUCUACAUUCAUCCACACACCAGAGAUGAGUGUAAGAAAAGCUCUGAGACUGAUUCUCCUACACAGAGCUGUGUCUACAAACUCCCCAAGAGAAACCUCAGCCUCUCUGAUGCUGGAACUCACUACUGUGCUGUGGCUGCAUGUGAACAUGAAGCUAAAUCUAAUGGAAAAA